This 446-nucleotide ribosomal RNA is filed under the name uncultured bacterium. Its description in RNAcentral is "partial 16S ribosomal RNA". It matches the Rfam family "Bacterial small subunit ribosomal RNA", at positions 338 to 795 of the family's 1533-position model. The record is from RNAcentral.
CCUACGGGGUGCAGCAGUAGGGAAUUUUCGGCAAUGGGGGGAACCCUGAACGAGCCACGCCGCGUGAACGAAGAAGUUAUUAGUAAUGUAAAGUUCUUUUAACAGGGAAGAAAGAGAAAUUAGACGGUACCUGAAGAAUAAGCCCCGGCUAACUACGUGCCAGCAGCCGCGGUAAUACGUAGGCAGCGAGCGUUAUCCGGAAUUAUUGGGCGUAAAGGGUGCGUAGAUGGCAUAGUAAGCCUUUUGUAAAAAUGCUGGGCUCAACCCAGUAGGGCAAAAGAUACUGCAAAUCUAGAGUAUGACAGAGGCAAGUGGAACUACAUGUGUAGCGGUAAAAUGCGUAGAUAUAUGUAAGAACACCAGUGGCGAAGGCGGCUUGCUGGGUCGAUACUGACAUUGAGGCACGAAAGCGUGGGGAGUAAACAGGAUUAGAUACCCUAGUAGUC